Molecule: long non-coding RNA, 9810 nt
Organism: Oreochromis niloticus (Nile tilapia)
Lineage: Eukaryota; Metazoa; Chordata; Actinopteri; Cichliformes; Cichlidae
Exons: 6
Source: RefSeq, a predicted model, not a curated record
UUUUUGAGCGCCGUGUACCACAUAAAAUCAGUUCGAGGUCAGUAAGCACAACCUGAAUUCAUACAUGAGGCACAUUGUCGAUUUUUGAGAAAAUUAAAGGAUUUUAAGUUUACUUUAUUGUGCCUCUAUAACUGACCUCUAAUUUUCUACUUCUGAAUUCAGAUCAAACUGAGGGUAUUGUACUCUGUCCUAAAAAGAAUCAUGGGGUCUAACCAAAUACUGACUUUCGAUUUCAUUACAUUGCUCUUUAGUGACCGUGCAAGAAACUGUGGAGUAAUUUUUUAAACAGGAGCAUGCAGCAUAUACUUUAAACAAAUAUGCAGAACUGCCUUCAUUCAUCUGAAUGAAAAUUAGACACAUUGUGCUCAGAGGUACACCUGAGCAAGGUACCGUCCCUGCACACUGCUCCCCAGGCGCCCAGUAGCUGCCCACUGCUUGACUGAGUGAAUGGGUUAAAUGCAGAGAGGAAUUUCCCCACGGGGAUCAAUAAAGUAAGCACUAUUAUUAUUAUUAUUAUUAUUAUCCUGUCCAGGAUUGACGUUAUAAUGUAUAUAUGUCUAUUAUAAUUUAAUAUUAUAAGGUUGCUCUGAAAGGGACAUGAAACUCCUUCAGUUGAUCCAAAACGCUGCAGAAAGAGUUCUGACUGGGACUAGAAAGCGAGAGCACAUUUCUCUCACAUUAGCUUCUCUUCAUUGACUCCUGUUUAAAUUCAGAAUUGAAUUUAAAAUCCUUCCCUGCACAUCCAAAUCUGUAAACAUCAUGCUGUGUCUUAAAGACCUCAUAUUAUCCUAACAGAGCAUUUCUUAAGACUGCAGACCUCCUUAAGGUUCCUGGUAGAAUGGAAGGCAAAGUUUUAUUUAAAGUUUUAUUACUAUUUAAUGUCAUCAUGGUUUGGUAAAUCUUGGUUGGUGGGGUGGCUUCGACUUUCCCAGUUCCACUUGGCAUUCCACAUGAAAAUUCCAACUAGGAACUCAGAAAUACCGACUUCAACCGAAAUGCUCUAUUAAUCCCUACAAGACUGUAAUCAAAUGAUGGAGCAACGCCAUCAGCAGUUAAGAUGAGGGUUUUGUCUCUUAGACUACAUGAUAAGAGGCUAUGUGUGAGUCUACAGCUCUCUCAGUUCUCAUAAAUGAUCCUAGAGGAUGGCAUAGGAGCUUUAUGUUAAAGUAAGGAGUGCUUAUUUACCCUGAACAAAGAGGAUGGAAAGGAUCCAAGCAAAUGACAGAGGGACCCGCUGAGGCAAAAUCUGAAAACAUAACCAGGAUCAAAAAAUGCUGGCAAAAAAGAGCGCGCUUAUAAAGCAAAGCACAUGGCACGGAGACUGUCUGGCAUGGCAAACGGAAACAUCCUGUACUAGGAAACUGAAACUAAACCAAAAUCCUGCUUUCUUUCUGUUAGUGGUGUCUUUGUAUUUUGGAAUUCAGUUUUCAUUAUUGCUCAAGUGUUGUAUGGGACCGCACAUGUGAUCACAUCCAUCAGGCUAGACAAUUGUGAUUAAGUUGGUAAACUGACUAUUGUGAAGUGCCCAGUGGAGAGUAAUCUAUCAUUGCCUCUGCAAAUGUAGUCGAGUCAGCACAUCUCAUUAAUGAAAUUAUGAAAUGAAGACAUUUCUAAAUUUUAAGGGGAGCAUUCUGAGUAAGAAAAACACAGCAUGUAAACGCAAAGAAGACAGCAGUUAUGUUAUUUACUCUGAAAGGGUUUCCUCACAUUGCAGUCAGUUUGAUACUUGACCUCAGAAAAUCUGUAACGGUUGGCUGGGUUUGCCUCAAGGAGCCGUUAAUUACUGGUUAAACCACACCAGAAACUCUGCUGGCUGAAAGACAAAAAUACCUGAGCUCCUGGUACUACAGAAGUAACAGACCAUCGUCAGCUCUGCUUCUGAAACUGAAAUUUCUGAUAUUGGUCACAAUGGCAUGUGCAGUGGAAUGUCAAACAGGCGAGUGCUGAGUUUCUGUUUAAGUGUCUUGAGUGCUAAAGUAUCUAGUAACACACACUGAACAAUAUCCUGAUUUCUAAAACCUUUAUUAUACUUUCCACACCUGAGGUGUGAAGGCCUCAGUUUACCCACCGUGGGCUGGUCCAUUCAUCCUGGCUGUUGUGGUGGAGGUAGCUGGUGCAGUAUCCUCCUGAAGUUGGUACAACAUCUGUAUAAGCUAUGAGUCUCUGAGCUUCUUUACUGAUAUAUCAUGAAUUCAUAUGGAUUUCUGGCAUUUUCCUAAUGUGACAGUGUUUAACAGGCUGGUAGAAAUCUGAAUUUAAUGGCACACUUGAAAACAAAAAAAGUACAGACCAUAACGAAUGAAACUGCUGAAUGAUGGAGAAUGAUGGGUCAAACAGGUUGUUCACUGUUGGCUUAUAAAGACAUGGUGCACCAUUUUUCUCUUCUUCUCCUUUUUCCUUCCAGUUCCUAAUGCAUUUUAUUUCAUGCACUUACACCCGCAUGUUAAUACCAAGUACCCUGAACACGGGACCCUAAAUGAACACUGAUGACCUAACAGCACUGUAGCAAUCAAUAAAAACUACUCAAAGUUUCAGACAAAGAGAUGAGAACUCCUAAGUGGGGAGAAGAGGAACAUCUGUAAGACAGGAACCAAGUCCAAGAGACGUCCAGUUGGAAAUAUCAAAGAACUGACAAACCUCAGGCCCUUUGCUGUAAGCUCUUUUUUGUUUUACGCCUACUUUCUGUUGAGGAAACAAUCAGAAAUACUCAUAAUGGGAUCAAGAUAUGACCUCGCUGCUGACAUGGACAGUUACGAUGGUUUGAUGUGGCUUUUAGCUGGUGAGGUCGUUCAGUUAAGAUGCCGAUCACACGCUGCUCAAGAGCCGUUGAUGCAGGGUGCAAGUUAUUACGUUUUUGCUGUUUCAUAAACGUGUAAUCAGGAGAAGAAUGUAUAAAGAGGAAAGUUAGCUCAUCGUUUUGUUUUGUUUUUUUCACCACUUUUAAAAAAAUGUAAAUUGCAUUUAAGAACUUUAAAGGGAAUUCUUACCCGUUUAGUGCUUUUAUUUUGAAAAUCGAGCGUUUUCAUGUGUGAGUUGCAUCACUACAUACACUUCAAAGGAUUCCAGAGGCUUUGCAUAUUUAAUUUAAAAAGAAACUGUCAGGCAUUGCACUGAUUCUUGUAGACUUUCAAAUGUCCUUCAGCUUAAGCUGUCCUGAAAAUUGUCUCGCAGUGGUUUGAAACUUGCGUGAGAUGCCAAAGACAUAGUCAUGGCAAGUUGUUCAAUGUGAUAGGAUCAAAAUAUCUUCAGAAAAUAUGUGGCAGGAAGUGUGCUUCUGUGAAGAUGCAAGUAAUCCGAACACAGCUGCAGAUCUCUGCAGGCAAGUCCGUUAUGGGCUACUUCAGCUCAGCGAGUCUUGUAGACGAACCGGCUCAUCGGCACAUCGCGUGCCAGCGCUCGACAAAGUAGCUCAACGAUUCGACGUUUUCUAACACUGGUUUCCAAACAGAAAGGAGAAAUCCAAAUUGUCCAAAUUUGUGAACGCAUAAAAUUUGUGGAUGCUGUAAAUCUAGCUUUGGUUUAAAUGACACGCAGUAUGUGCUAAUGAAUUGGUGACUUUAGCCGAUCAGUUACUUUGCGACUCAGUUAACCCAGAUCUGUUACUCAGUCUGCUGCCUUGUUAUUCUGCGACCCAGAUACUGUUACUGAGUGACUCUGUCACUUUGUUACUCUGCCACUCAGAUAUUCAGUGACAUCUUUACCUUGUGACUGAGCACAUUAAGCUAUGGGAACUUGAUUUUUAGGGUGUGAACCAUGAAAUGUGAUGCCUGUUGCUGACAUCCAGGAUCUGUCGUGUUUUGCCCAUCUCUCUCUGCCCUUGCGUUCUGUCAUCUCUCUGCUGCUGGAGCUCUUUAUUAUUAUUUAUUAUAACCUCUUUAUUCAGUUUUACUUUUUGCUUGGCCUGAAUACAGUGACAGGUAUGUUCAUGCUUUCACCCCUGAGCUGCUGUGUAACCUGCCUGUUUUCAUGCUUGCUCUAAUAAAACCAGAUUGCACCACCCAUCUGCAGGAACAAGAAGUUGGGUAAUAUUACUGACAGCGCACCAAGAGUCCACCCUGCCUGCUGCUCAUUGGUUCUCCUGUGUUAGAUCUGUGGCUGCGGCUGCUGAUAUUCUUCGUAGUGUGUUUUCAGAGGAUGCUCUCAACACUUGUUCUAAGAAACUUUGACUGUGUGUGGGACUUUCCAACUCAACAAUUUUUCUUUUUUUCAAAAACAUCUUUUGCGGGUGACGUCAGUCUGCCAGAGUGAUGACGGCAGAGCGAGUGCUCCUGUGAUGUCAAAAUCAACCAGGAGAGUAAAAAUGAGAAGAUUGAAGGGAAAAAGGGAGAACAUGGACUCUGUGUUCCAGUCUUCUGCAUGCUAGGCUCUGCUGGAAGCGAAUGCAUGCUGCAGACGCCUAUGGGCUUCAAAUCAGCAAACAGCACUGGAAUGACGCACCCCUGGCUAAAAGGCAGAAGCGGAAGAAGAAAAGCAGAGAGGCUGUGAUGUAACUACAGCACUGGACUCAGCGCAGAUGGGAGCAGACGGACGGACGGCAGCGAGGAUGACAUCACUGUUACCCGUGGGAGCCUGGGCCUGUCAUUCUUGGUGUCACUUCCUGGGAGAGAAUAGAAGAGGAAGCCAGAGCGAGAGCCGACAACGAGCGCUCCCCUCACCUCCACAAGGAAGCCUUUUUCCCCCGAGAGCAUAAUGUGUGUCCGCUUGUGUCCCUCGCUCACUCCUGCAUUCAUCCCGCAGAGGGCUGGUGCUGGUUCAGAAUUUGUGUAAGCCCUGAUUGUUUUCAUUUUCUUUGGGCUCAAGUCUGAGCCUUUUCCAACAAAUCCUUUGAAGAGCUUAUUAUUUUACAUUUCAACGGUAGUUAAAAUAAGUCACAGUGGUGACUUUAUGGGUACGGAUGCAGUAAGCUGUGCCUCUGCAGGCUUUAUUUUGCUGCCCUGGGUCAGCAGUGUUUGGGGAAAAGCUCCGUUUGGAGGGAUAAAAAACGUGGAGGCCACAGUGACGUCACCUGAUGGUGUUGGACUCUGGGUCGGGGUGAGGCUCGAUCCCUAGCAUUUUGGCCACUGCCACACUUUGUUUCUAUGCUGGAGUUUUCCCAUAUUGGACAAAAGGGGCGAGUGAUACAUUAAAGGUAAUCCUAGCAAGGUUAGCAAGCUGCAUGUGUAGAUUGCAUGGGUCCAAUGGACGCACAUCAUUUCUAAUUAGUCCUUGCCCUGAAUGGUGUAAGCCUCACAUAUUUGUCAGGUGAUUCUGUUUAACUCCAAAAGGCUCCAACAGGAAAAGUCCAGUUUGACUCCAGUCUGCACAGAGCCCUCAGUUAACCCCUCAACAUCCACUCGUGUCACCAGAUCAACGAUUAUUCGUAUUGCUGUUUGUUGAUAUUGUGUUACUGUUGUAAAAUGCAGUGACGUGGCUGAAACUACAGCGAGUCAUCAGAAAGAUCGAUGAGCUUCUCUUCCUGUUGGAGUGUUCACAGACAAGAUAAUGGCUGAAAUAAGUUAGUAAGCUCUAUUUAAAUGCCAGCUCGUCAUGAACUUUGAUUUUCUUUUUUAAUCAUGAGGCUUUGUGAUGAUUCAUGUCUGUGUUAAGGUGCUAGCGUAGCUGAUUCAGAGCUGCUAAUGAGUAGAUGUGUUGUUCUACUUGUUUGUCUUCAUCCAACUGAGCAACUCAAACGUAACCAGCUUAGUGCAUACACAGCAUCUUUGUACUAUCCAUCACAUCUACUGUGCAGGCAUACAAAGCAGGCACACAUCCUGCUACCUGAUUUGUUUUACACAAAUCCUGAACUCAAAAUGAGCAGGACGCGCUGUGGUUUAGACGCUGGCAGGCUCUGGUGAGUCUGUGUUUAAAGGCAAAGAAAGGAUGGAAAGAUGACUGCAAUGUAAAAAUGAAAUUAAAGAUGUCCAGGUUUCGGUCCCCGGGACAAGUCACAGCUUUGUUGGAUUGUUUUGUACCGCCGCUGUUUCAUGAAAUUUAUUCCUGGCUGCCCUACAGUGGAUUUGCUUCUGACCUUUGACCUCUCUAACCAACACAAGUGUAUCAAAGCUGGGCCCUCCCUUUGAGGACCCGCAUGGACGUUAUAGAUGUAAUGUCGCCCUCUUGUGUGUGAAUAUAAAAUUGCAGGAUUAAUAUACGAUGUCUUUACAAAACACUGUCUGGUGAAUUUCAGCACUUCUCAGUGUGAGAUCGUAACAUCGGAUGUGGGCAGCUGUUAGAUGGCUCCGCCCUCCAAAGCCUCCACCUCUCUGCAGCACCGACAGCAUAAAGACUUUGUAACCUGGAGGCUCCGAUCGUGGGACACACCUCUGAUCAUCUGACACCCAUGUUUCAAACACCUGGGAGGGCCGCUGGGACAAUGCAUGUACUGUUAGAUUUGUUGUCAUGACGACCUUGCUGGUUAUGUAAGCACUGGGCUCUGGUUCCCACAAACAGUGGUGCACGCAGGUCUUUGUGCUGUGACACUAGAAACCACACACACAGUCACAGUUUGUACAUUCCUCCAGCUGCUCACAUGUCACCCUGCAGUGACUGCAACGAGACAUUUAACCCUCAGUGAUGAUCCAAACCUUAACCCUGUGCUAUCAGCAUGUGCGCUUAAGGUGAGGGCUGUGGCCGACUCGGGGCUGAUACUUUGUUGCAGUUUAACAUCAAGAAUUUGGGUGGCACAGUUUCUUUCAGUAAAUUUGUUUCAGUUCCCACCAAAACUGAAGUAAGCUUGCUGGUUUUCUUGGAUUUUUGCUGAUUUCUUGAGCUUGGCCACAAUUUCUCUGGUUGGCUGUUAGUUUCACAACUCCUCCAGUCUGCAUGUUGAGAUGUCAUGUGUGCCACAGGCACAGUACUUUGAGUAAUAAGUGCUAUAGUGAUGCAGUUGGUUAAACUAGCAGGUUCCUCUCUGUAACCUUGAUUGAAUCCAAAGAUUUCGUGACCCUAAAGCAGACUCACAUUUACCAGCUUCUCUGUUGCUCAGGUGCUUCUUCACAUGCUCUGUCUCUCUGGCAACAGCCUGGAAAUGCUGCUGCUCUGGACCAACAACAAUAAAUGUGUGUGUAGAGGUACCCAUGUGUCCGUCUGUACUGAUGGAGCUGAUGUGCCACAUAGAUUUGGCUCUGUAAAGUUAAAUGACGUUGAGCAUACUCAUGUACAUAUCCAUCCAUUCACACUGGUUUUCCUCUCUUACGUCAUGUGGUUCUGUUUUUCUUCUUCCCCUCUGUGUCUGUGGAAGGUGGCAGGUCGUGAGCGUAGACUGACGUGGACUAGAGUGAGUGCUCGUCAUUAUGCUUGUGAUGUCUGAGAGAGCACAAACGCCGUUCACAGUAGCCUCUAUGCAUUCCUCCUGUGGCAGGCGUCCCUGUCUUAUGCUGUCAGCCUCACUUUUUAUGUGACGUCUGUUCUGUUUGAAUUCAUCUUCAUUGCUGGAAGCAAGUAUUCAGGUGCCAGCUGCUCACGAUGCUGGACUGGCAUAGCAACAGCAGCAAAAAGAAGAGCUGUCACACAGUGCACAGAGCGCAGCAGGGCUGAGAUCACCGUGAUGAGCAGAUGUGUGUGUGUGUAUUAUAAUAGUGGUUUUUAGUAGGCUGGACUAACUGGUUUGUAUUUCCUUGCUGGAAUAAUAGCUGACCCUGGUUUGGCCUUUGGGAGCUAACUUGUGUUUAUCUGGAUGGACCUCGCAGGUGUGACACUGUCAUACUGCAGACUGUAUGCCGUGUCCACCAUGCAUGCAUGUCGAUGCAUGCAUGCAUGCAGUCACUCUCUCUCUCUUUCCUCUUUUCUCUCUUCUUCUCUCUCUGCAGGGCAAAGCCUGCCUCCUCUCUACGACUCACAUUAGACAAGUUGUCCAAAAAUGGUCCAACAGAGAAAAAGUGAAGGUUGAAGGAGAGAGAUCACAGAAAGUCGAUGACAAGCAGCUACAGGGUCACCUAGGCAACUGGAGCCUGGAAUGUCCGCUAGCAACCAAUCGUCAGCUUCAAAGCAAUGCACGACAGCUCGAUGACUUCCUGUGUGGAUGAAAAGUGUUAUAGCUCAUGUUCACAUGCAGUGAAUGCUGAUUCUGAUGGUUGUUUUAAAGUUUGAGGGGUUUUCCAAGUGAAUGUUUGCAGGUAUCCACACAGACUUCAGACAGGCCUGCCUUUAAGUCCUAAAUUUUAAAAUAGUAGACAACUUUCUGUGCUAGAGGUAUCAUAUAUGCAAUGAUAGCAAUAAUAUUUUAAAAUUUAAUAAUACAAAUAAAAAGCUGGUAGUUGUUUUUUUUGUACAUGGUUAUAGGAUUUUCAGUGUAGUUCCCUUGCUUCUGUACAUUUGAUAAUGAUACCAUUACAUUUCCUUUGUUUUGCUGAUAGUUGUGGAGUGAAAAUGUAAUAAUGUGACAGUAAAUAUGGAAUCUUUGCUGUGCAGAGCAUCCUCGGCUGGGGUCAAAUUCCUGUCUCAGUUAGUGUAAAGCACACUUUGGUUUAACAUUGAACUGUUUCACCAAAGGACAAAGAAGAAGUGUUGAAACCAAACUUUGGUCUAUAGAAUCUCUAAACUGCAGUUUUAGAGCAAAAUAAUGUGACACUGUUCUCCCACACUCACCAGCCUUUGGUUUAAAAUGUGUUGAAUCAAAUUUAAUCAUCGAGUUGUUUUGUCCAUGUGAAGCCGUCUGACACAGCACUGCACUCUGGAUCAACAUCUGACUUACUGAUCUUUUAAUCUUCUUUCUAUUAGAAGGUGAAUGAGUUUUUGGGGUUUUUUUCAUUUUCCUACAACAUAACGAGCCUUCUUUAAAUCACUGCUUACUUGUGACCCAAGAAAUGACUAAAUAUUAUGGUCAGUGCUUCUGAUCCGUCCUGAGAGGUAAGUGUUGGGACUUUCCUACAAUUGUAUUGGCUUUGCGUUAUAACAUGUCUGAAUAAAAUUGCUUACAUUCAAAAUGUAUAUAACUACUAGCUGUUAACCUUCAGUGGCAACAAACGUUGUGGUUAGCUUCCUGUUUGUGUGUAAAAACUCUGCUAUCAGCUGCAGUUAUCUCUCUUUGUUGGUGCAUGUAGUGGCGAAGCACAGAUCAGGGCGGAGAUCUGCAGUUCAUCUCACCGCUGCAGCUGUGGUGACCAAACGUCUUCUCCAAGAAGCUGGUUUCACAUGGUGGUUUAGAUGUGUGCUGCUCUUGUCUAGCACCAUUUGAAAUCAGUGUUCUUGGGGAGAGCAGGACAGCAGCUUCGGCAGUGAGUGAGUGUUAGGAGGACAGUACACGAGUGCCCCUUCUUCCUCUCCUCCUCUUCUUCUGUUGCCACUAAAAGAUAACUGAUUUCUUCUGGUGCUUAGAGCCUGCUGAAGCCUUCUAGCACCAUUUGAAAUCGGUUAUAAAACUGUGGAUCACUGCUUCUGUGGGUCGUCAAAGAAAGAAGACAGCAACGCAGAAAGCUUAGAGGACGCUCGUGGAUUACACCCUCAUUAAUAUAAUCAGUCUGUCACUAAUAAAUCAGCUUUGCCUUUGCCAAUUCUUAAACUGAGCUGUGGUGUUUGACCUUUCUACAACUGCUCAACGUUGCAGUUCUCACAAGCUACCACUAGAGGGUGCUGGAAACCAAGAUUUCUUGGAUUACCCUUUGGAUGGAUUGGCUGGACCUGAGUCGGAUACAUUAUUGGGAAAGUAAACACAUGGAUGAAUACAUUUUUUAAAAUUCAGUUUUACGUAUUUUUCAAAGCUUUAGAGGUAAGUGCUAAGUACAGUAUUGUUUACUGUGAUCAGGACUAUAAUCACCAAUGCUGAUGUUUAUAUGUACUACUGUAAAUAAAGUUUGAGCAACAAUGCAAAAGUAAUAAAGUUAAAAAACAAAA